AUGAAGAUUGUGGAGAAAACACAGCUGGUGCUCAGGAAGGGCAUCAACUCAGUGGCGAUGCUCGCUCUGUGGGAAAUUUGGAAGCACCGCAAUAGUUGCACCUUUAGAGGAAAGGAAGCCUCCAUAAGCGAGGUGCUACCGGCAAUCAAAAGGGGCAUCGAGCUUUGGCGUCAAGCCGGGGCAUCUUGCCUCACGCACCCGUUCACUUUGCCACCAGAGGGGAUAGGCUGA
Molecule: ribosomal RNA, 231 nt
Filed under: Triticum aestivum (bread wheat)
Lineage: Eukaryota; Viridiplantae; Streptophyta; Magnoliopsida; Poales; Poaceae
Description: partial small subunit ribosomal RNA
Source: RNAcentral